This 235-nucleotide ribosomal RNA is filed under the name uncultured bacterium. RNAcentral's name for it is "partial 16S ribosomal RNA". It matches the Rfam family "Bacterial small subunit ribosomal RNA", at positions 15 to 252 of the family's 1533-position model. The record is from RNAcentral.
GAUCCUGGCUCAGAUUGAACGCUGGCGGCAUGCCUUACACAUGCAAGUCGAACGGCAGCACGGACUUUGGUCUGGUGGCGAGUGGCGAACGGGUGAGUAAUACAUCGGAACGUGCCUAGUAGUGGGGGGUAACUACUCGAAAGAGUGGCUAAUACCGCAUGAGAUCUACGGAUGAAAGCAGGGGAUCGCAAGACCUUGUGCUACUAGAGCGGCCGAUGGCAGAUUAGGUAGUUGG